GCUUAACACAUGCAAGUCGAGCGGUAACAGGGGUAGCUUGCUACCCGCUGACGAGCGGCGCACGGGUGAGUAAUGCUUAGGAAUCUGCCCAGUAGUGGGGGAUAGCCCGGGGAAACCCGGAUUAAUACCGCAUACGUCCUACGGGAGAAAGCAGGGGAUCUUCGGACCUUGCGCUAUUGGAUGAGCCUAAGUCGGAUUAGCUGGUUGGUGGGGUAAAGGCCUACCAAGGCGACGAUCCGUAGCUGGUCUGAGAGGAUGAUCAGCCACAUCGGGACUGAGACACGGCCCGAACUCCUACGGGAGGCAGCAGUGGGGAAUAUUGGACAAUGGGGGCAACCCUGAUCCAGCCAUGCCGCGUGUGUGAAGAAGGCUUUCGGGUUGUAAAGCACUUUCAGUAGGGAGGAAAACCUUAUGGCUAAUACCUAUGAGGCUUGACGUUACCUACAGAAGAAGCACCGGCUAACUCCGUGCCAGCAGCCGCGGUAAUACGGAGGGUGCAAGCGUUAAUCGGAAUUACUGGGCGUAAAGCGCGCGUAGGUGGUUUGGUAAGCGAGAUGUGAAAGCCCCGGGCUUAACCUGGGAACGGCAUUUCGAACUGUCAGACUAGAGUGUGGUAGAGGGUAGUGGAAUUUCCUGUGUAGCGGUGAAAUGCGUAGAUAUAGGAAGGAACACCAGUGGCGAAGGCGGCUACCUGGACCAACACUGACACCUGAGGUGCGAAAGCGUGGGUAGCAAACAGGAUUAGAUACCCUGGUAGUCCACGCCGUAAACGAUGUCAACUAGCCGUUGGGACUCUUGAAGUCUUAGUGGCGCAGCUAACGCACUAAGUUGACCGCCUGGGGAGUACGGCCGCAAGGUUAAAACUCAAAUGAAUUGACGGGGGCCCGCACAAGCGGUGGAGCAUGUGGUUUAAUUCGACGCAACGCGAAGAACCUUACCUGGCCUUGACAUCCAGAGAACUUUCCAGAGAUGGAUUGGUGCCUUCGGGAACUCUGAGACAGGUGCUGCAUGGCCGUCGUCAGCUCGUGUCGUGAGAUGUUGGGUUAAGUCCCGUAACGAGCGCAACCCCUAUCCCUGGUUGCUAGCAGGUAAUGCUGAGAACUCCAGGGAGACUGCCGGUGACAAACCGGAGGAAGGUGGGGAUGGCGUCAGGUCAUCAUGGCCCUUACGGCCAGGGCUACACACGUGCUACAAUGGCGCGUACAGAGGGCUGCCAACUCGCGAGAGUGAGCCAAUCCCUUAAAACGCGUCGUAGUCCGGAUCGGAGUCUGCAACUCGACUCCGUGAAGUCGGAAUCGCUAGUAAUCGCGAAUCAGAAUGUCACGGUGAAUACGUUACCGGGCCUUGUACAUCACCGCCCGUCACUUCAUGGGAGUGGAUUGCACCAGAAGUAGUUAGUCUAACCUUCGGGAGG
This 1414-nucleotide ribosomal RNA is filed under the name uncultured Marinobacter sp. RNAcentral's name for it is "16S ribosomal RNA". It matches the Rfam family "Bacterial small subunit ribosomal RNA". Lineage: Bacteria; Pseudomonadati; Pseudomonadota; Gammaproteobacteria; Pseudomonadales; Marinobacteraceae. The record is from RNAcentral.